Molecule: ribosomal RNA, 408 nt
Filed under: uncultured bacterium
Lineage: Bacteria
Description: partial 16S ribosomal RNA
Rfam family: Bacterial small subunit ribosomal RNA
Source: RNAcentral
GACGAACGCUGGCGGCGUGCUUAACACAUGCAAGUCGAACGAAGUGGCGAACGGGUGAGUAACGCGUAACCAACCUGCCCUUCAGAGGGGGACAACAGUUGGAAACGACUGCUAAUACCGCAUACUGAAGGGGGGGAUGGCGGCUGAUUAGCUAGUUGGGGGGGUAACGGCCCACCAAGGCGACGAUCAGUAGCUGGUCUGAGAGGAUGAUCCGCCACACUGGGACUGAGACACGGCCCAGACUCCUACGGGAGGCAGCAGUGGGGAAUUUUGGACAAUGGGCGCAAGCCUGAUCCAGCCAUGCCGCGUGUCUGAAGAAGGCCUUCGGGUUGUAAAGGACUUUUGUCAGGGAAGCGGUACCUGAAGAAUAAGCACCGGCUAACUACGUGCCAGCAGCCGCGGUAAUAC